CGGAGGGUGCAAGCGUUGUCCGGAUUUAUUGGGUUUAAAGGGUGCGUAGGCGGCCCCUUAAGUCAGUGGUGAAAGCCCGCGGCUCAACCGCGGAACUGCCAUUGAUACUGGGGGGCUUGAGUACAGACGAGGUAGGCGGAAUUGAAGAUGUAGCGGUGAAAUGCUUAGAUAUCUUCAAGAACACCGAUUGCGUAGGCAGCUUACUAGGCUGUAGCUGACGCUGAGGCACGAAAGCGUGGGGAGCGAACAGGAUUAGAUACCCUGGUAGUCCACGCCGUAAACGAUGAUUACUCGAUGUCGGCGAUAGACCGUCGGCGUCCUAGCGAAAGCGUUAAGUAAUCCACCUGGGGAGUACGCCCGCAAGGGUG
Molecule: ribosomal RNA, 368 nt
Filed under: uncultured organism
Description: bacterial SSU rRNA
Rfam family: Bacterial small subunit ribosomal RNA
Source: RNAcentral